This 492-nucleotide long non-coding RNA is filed under the name Rosa chinensis. Its description in RNAcentral is "sRNA RchiOBHm_Chr5g0046371". The record is from RNAcentral. Lineage: Eukaryota; Viridiplantae; Streptophyta; Magnoliopsida; Rosales; Rosaceae.
CGAAGGAGCUGGUGAUAGUUUUUCUUGGAGAAAUUGAGCUCAUUUGAACAAAUAGGAAUAUCCGAUUGAGCUGGCACCCAUUUAAUCAAAUUGGGGGAUUUGAUUGAGCAAUCAGAGAUCUUUGAAGGAUUGAGCUCCGGUGUGAUUGUGGAAUCCCUGAAGGUGGUUAGCUUGCAAGGAUUUGCCUCAAUUUUGGAGCCUAACCUCUGCAGAAUUGCACGAUAUCGGCAUAUUGCUUUUGCUCCAGUCUGGCCAUGAGAAUGAGGUAUCAUUUAAUUGUGAAAGAAAGCUUUGGAGGAGAACAUAAUUGUGUAUCUGGAAACUGGUUGUGGAAAGACCUAAAUAGCCGUGUUGCUUAUGUAUGAACCAGUUGAUACUCAAACCUCAGAAGAACAUGUGUGCUAAAUCCUGAAGAUCUUUGUGGUAUAUAUGGAUCAAAUUGCUCCCAAUGGAUUAUUGCAAUGGAGUAUUAGAAAGAAUGUGGCUAUCAUG